CUGGACAGACUGCUGCCAUGCCGGCUGGCUAGGUCACUCUGUUCGAGAAACUACACAGACAAUGAUGCCUUUGCUCUGCUCCCGGUCACCGUCAAAAUCCUUCAGUUAGACAAUAAAAGAAGAAACCUCCAUGAUAGAAAUUUUAAAAUCAGUUCUGGCACAAUGGAUGUCAUUUUUGUGACGGAUUCUAUUUUAAGUAAGGAGUAAGUAGUCAGAUAUGCAAAUUAAAUACUUAUUAGCAUCAGAAAGAAAAGAAGAAGGAAAAACUGAACUGGUAAAAAUUCCUUUUCAACUUUAGAUGGAGAAACAUGAUGGAAGGGAGGAAAGCUAAUCACUAAAGUGGAAAGGAGAAAAUAUUUUUACUUUAGAGGUUUGGAAGAAUUCUGAACAGGUGGAAAAAUAGCUCAGUGAACAGCAUAGUAUUAAUUACAGCACAUAACCAACCCUGUGGCUAAUCUACAACAAUGAUCCUCUUUAAUUAACUAUCAAGACAGACAGAACUGGCUUACCUAGCAAAUAAGCAUCAAG
This 528-nucleotide long non-coding RNA is filed under the name Cricetulus griseus (Chinese hamster). RNAcentral's name for it is "lncRNA (ENSCGRG00000026070.1)". The record is from RNAcentral. Lineage: Eukaryota; Metazoa; Chordata; Mammalia; Rodentia; Cricetidae.